GAUCCUGGCUCAGGACGAACGCUGGCGGCGUGCUUAACACAUGCAAGUCGAACGCUGAAGCCUAGCUUGCUGGGUGGAUGAGUGGCGAACGGGUGAGUAACACGUGAGUAACCUGCCCUCUUCUUUGGGAUAACGCCCGGAAACGGGUGCUAAUACUGGAUAUUCACUGGCCUUCGCAUGGGGGUUGGGUGGGAAAGGGUUUUUUUCUUGGUGGAGGAUGGGCUCGCGGCCUAUCAGCUUGUUGGUGGGGUGAUGG
Molecule: ribosomal RNA, 256 nt
Filed under: uncultured bacterium
Lineage: Bacteria
Description: partial 16S ribosomal RNA
Rfam family: Bacterial small subunit ribosomal RNA
Source: RNAcentral